Molecule: long non-coding RNA, 429 nt
Organism: Rosa rugosa (rugosa rose)
Lineage: Eukaryota; Viridiplantae; Streptophyta; Magnoliopsida; Rosales; Rosaceae
Exons: 3
Source: RefSeq, a predicted model, not a curated record
UUUCAAAGGCGUUGCCGAGGCGCGCCCGGGGCGCGCUCCGGUGUGGGGCGACCGGAAAUUGCCUCGCCGGAUGAAAAUGAGGCGUGCUGCUGGAAAGGCGAUCGAAAAGGCGACGGAGCGCCGCUUUUUGCAGAGGCGGCGCCUCAGGCAGGAAGGCGAGGAAGAAGAAGAAGACGCGCACGAGAUCGACCGGUAGAUGCUUUCAGAACGCAGCGCAGGAGCCAGGAGGAAGAGUGAAAAGUGAAAACACGAGUGUGUGGGUGCGAUUCUUGGCUGGUGGAUCUACGAGAUCAGCCAUGAGUGAGAAAGGGGAAGAUGGAAGAGACAAAGCAUGGAAGUAUACAAAAAAAGUGGAAGGGGAGAGAUACUUUAGAUGUGUAUUUUGUAAUCAAGUAUGCAGUGGCACUAUAUCUAGACUUAAGCAUCAUU